CCCUGUCUCAGUAUAUAGCCUAGCAGUCUCCGUGUUUUGGAAGUGCUGUGCCCCCCUGUCUCAGGAUAUAGCCCAGUAGUCUGUGUUUUGGAAGUGCUGUGUGCAGACUGUCACAGUAUACAGCCUAGCAGUCACUGUGUUUUGGAAGUGCUGUGUGUUCCUGUCUCAGUAUAUAGCCUAGCAGUCUCUGUGUUUUGGAAGUGCUGUAUCCCCCUAUCUCAGUAUAUAGCCUAGCAGUCUCUGUGUUUUGGAAGUGCUGUGUCCCCCUAUCUCAGAAUACAGCCUAGCAGUCUGUGUUGUGGAAGUGCUGUGUCCCCCUGUCUCAGUAUAUAGAC
This is a non-coding RNA of Pelobates cultripes (western spadefoot toad), 335 nucleotides long. NCBI's taxonomy places the organism in Eukaryota, Metazoa, Chordata, Amphibia, Anura, Pelobatidae. The record is from the annotation of a GenBank genome assembly.